Molecule: long non-coding RNA, 774 nt
Organism: Xenia sp. Carnegie-2017
Lineage: Eukaryota; Metazoa; Cnidaria; Anthozoa; Malacalcyonacea; Xeniidae
Exons: 5
Source: RefSeq, a predicted model, not a curated record
GCGAUAUAUUGCCUUGUACCCGUUUCUAAUCCGGACAAGUUUCUCAUCGCAACAUUAUAAGGAUGCGAAGGAUAUUUUGGACAAAAAAUUUCUUUUGUUUCGACUUCACAAAGCGGAGAAAGUUGAUUCGCAAAUUCGAAGGAGUGAACUACUGGUGUAUAAACACGCUUGUUUGAAACAAUGACAUAGAUUGUACUGUCAAAAUCUCUUGAAAAUAUUGAAAAAACGAUCCUUGACAAAUGUUGUGUAAAAACUAGCUGCAGUCAACCAUCGACAUUCCUACCAGAUGCGAAAAUGACGACUUUAAUUUGACUCCUAACAUAGAAAAAGUUCUGGCUAAACCAUCAAAUGUUGACAGUCUUUUCUGCUGAUUUCUUAGUUCCUUCACAAAAGUUAUUUAUAACUUUAAGAAUGGCUAAAGCUAGAGGAACUGAAUGCUGUAUUUUUGGUUGUGCUAAACGAAAAAAAAUUAGAGAAAAAAAGGGGAAUGCGCGUAGUGAUAGUAAAGGAAGUGAUGACAGCCACUCGGUGCUUAAAAGAAAACAUCCUUGGUCAUUUCAUUGCUGAUGAAAAUAAAUACUCGUUGUAACUCUUGGUUGAGGAAAUUCGUCGUAAGGAUUGGUAUCCGAACAAGUAUUCACGUGUUUCCUCAGACAACUCAUUGAUAGAAGCAAAGCAAAUACUAGAUUAAAGAAAGAUGCAAUACCUAGAAGAUUUAAGAAAUUUACGUUGUAUCUUAUUAAGGUCUCAGCUCAACACAACCCAUGUUUGUAG